Saccostrea cuccullata (small rock oyster) is the source of this 448-nucleotide long non-coding RNA. RefSeq lists it as uncharacterized. The record is from RefSeq and is a predicted model, not a curated record. The transcript is spliced from 4 exons. Lineage: Eukaryota; Metazoa; Mollusca; Bivalvia; Ostreida; Ostreidae.
CCCACUUCCUGUUGUGACUUUUUUCAACGAUGUUGGCAGGUUACAAUGCGGUUUUUCAAACUUUAUUGGGUACACUCUUCACCUGGGGACUGACAGCAGCAGGGGCUGCUCUAAGUAUUUGUAUUUCACAGCAGUCAGAGAAAAGUUCUGGAUGCUAGUCUGGGAUUUGCAGCUGGGGUAAUGACAGCUGCCUCCUACUGGUCUCUACUUAAUCCAGCGAUAGAAAUGGCCGAGCACUCAGGGUUCUACGGAGAUAAAGGGCAGUGGGCGUUUGUCCCUGUUGCUAUUGGUUUUAUACUGGGGGCAGGAUUUGUCUAUGGAGCAGACAUCUUCAUGCCUUACUUAGGAGUUGAUGAUGCAUCAAGUCUUAUGAUGUCACUUGAUUCCAACAUGAAGGAAGAGAAAGAUGGAAAUAUACAAAUGGAAUCUGCAACCAAUAAUUUUUAUG